Molecule: ribosomal RNA, 263 nt
Filed under: uncultured archaeon
Lineage: Archaea
Description: partial 16S ribosomal RNA
Rfam family: Archaeal small subunit ribosomal RNA
Source: RNAcentral
UAGCCGUAAACGAUACUCGCUAGGUGUCGGCCACGGUGCGACCGUUGUCGGUGCCGUAGGGAAGCCGUGAAGCGAGCCACCUGGGAAGUACGGCCGCAAGGCUGAAACUUAAAGGAAUUGGCGGGGGAGCACCACAACGGGUGGAGCUUGCGGUUUAAUUUGGAUUCAACGCCGGAAAUCUUACCGGGACCGACAGCAACAUGAAGGCCCAGGCUGAAGACUUUGCCGGAUUAGCUGAGAGGAGGUGCAUGGCGUAGUCGUGU